This 429-nucleotide ribosomal RNA is filed under the name Pseudomonadota bacterium. RNAcentral describes it as "Proteobacteria bacterium partial 16S ribosomal RNA". It matches the Rfam family "Bacterial small subunit ribosomal RNA", at positions 355 to 776 of the family's 1533-position model. The record is from RNAcentral. Lineage: Bacteria; Pseudomonadati; Pseudomonadota.
UGGGGAAUAUUGGACAAUGGGCGAAAGCCUGAUCCAGCCAUGCCGCGUGUGUGAAGAAGGUCUUCGGAUUGUAAAGCACUUUAAGUUGGGAGGAAGGGCAGUAAGCGAAUACCUUGCUGUUUUGACGUUACCGACAGAAUAAGCACCGGCUAACUCUGUGCCAGCAGCCGCGGUAAUACAGAGGGUGCAAGCGUUAAUCGGAAUUACUGGGCGUAAAGCGCGCGUAGGUGGUUCGUUAAGUUGAAUGUGAAAGCCCCGGGCUCAACCUGGGAACUGCAUCCAAAACUGGCGGGGUAGGGUAGGGCAGAGGGUGGUGGAAAUUCCUGUGUAGCGGUGAAAUGCGUAGAUAUAGGAAGGAACACCAGUGGCGAAGGCGACCACCUGGGCUCAUACUGACACUGAGGUGCGAAAGCGUGGGGAGCAAACGGG